This 10375-nucleotide long non-coding RNA is filed under the name Xyrichtys novacula (pearly razorfish). Lineage: Eukaryota; Metazoa; Chordata; Actinopteri; Labriformes; Labridae. The record is from RNAcentral.
UUUAAGCUGACUUUAAGGCAAAAGUGGAGAGCAAUAAGAACAUGAUUUGGUUUGGUGGGGUCACCCCAUCUCAUCUCCAGUGACCAGGUCAAGCAUUACAUUCUUUUGGGGGUACUUAGGGUGAGAAAGCGGGCAUCUCUGCUACAAGACCCCAAUUUAUAUUUCUCCAAAGAAAUUAUGUAUGUGUUUAUUCUUUUUUUUUUUUUUUUACUAUAGUAUUAUUUUAUUAUCUCCCAUGUUAUUUGUUCAAUGUUCCUUUGUCUGAAAUGUUGGGGUUGUACUUGGUCAUGAAGUUGCCAGUUUUUGAUACAAAUAAAAAGUUCCUCUACUGCUAACUGGGAAGUGAAUCGGAAGCUGAGUGACAUCAAGAUAUAUUCCCCCCCAUACCGGACCUUUACCGACCUCCCAUAAUCAACCAAAUCCAGCAUCAAAAGAUCAGAGCCAAAUAAACUGUAACUUUGUCAAACCUGAGGCCUGUACUAUACAGCUGGAUUAACACACCCAGGAUAACUGCCAAAACUCACUUAACUUCACCAGAUCUCCGUAAUCCCGAUCAGCUGUACUACGAGGCAGGAUAUCAUAGAAUAGAAUAUAGAAUAGAAUAUUCCUUUAUUGAUCCCCCAUGGGGGAAAUUUUUUUUGUCACAGCAGCAUCACAGACAAGCCAACAAGUGCAAAAAUGCAGUUAUAACAAUAAGGGUCCUAAUAUUAAGAACUUAAAUAAAUGUAAUAAUUAAGAAAAAAAUUAGAAAAGGGAGAAGAAAAAAUAAAACUUUCUACAAUAUACACAAUUUAAAUGCCAUAAAAAAAGUGGUGGUGUAAAAUCAGAUUUGUUACUGUUCAUUGUAAAGUCUUAUUGCAGAGGGGAGAAAUGAUCUACGGUAGCGCUCCGUCCUGCAGGGUGGGAGUUAUUGAGUAUCAACUCAAUAACUGAAUUCAAUAGAGGGAAUUCACGCUGAUGUCACUCGACUUCUGUCUGUCUGUGUGCAUCACAUCACAGAUGUGUCCAAAAUCUCCCUGAACGAUUCCUGCCUUCAUUUAAGACAGAAAGAACAAACAGGCAAAGAAUUUUUUUGGAGACUUAGACAUUUCUAUAUCCUAUUAAAAAAAAUAAAAAUGAGGAAGCUCACUCACUUCAGGUUUCUCAAAAUGAAUAGUUGUUAUCCCGCUGCUGUUGCAGACUGUUUUCCUGCAGUUGCAUGAGAGACUGCGGUGUUACCAGUUCCAGCAAAUUUGCAAGAUGUACUUCAGUGUAUUUCUCAGUCUAUCUAUUAUUUGUGAGUUAAAAACUACUAAAGAUGUUAUUUUGGGUAGACAAAUGGAAACUGAGAGAUUCUGUUUGAUCAAAAUACAUGUAUUCAUAUGUUCUGCCCAGUUCUUGGCUUAGAAGUCCAUGUCUAUCAUCAACACUCAUUAUUAUGUCCCUAUUAACAGGUGACAUUUCAUUCUAAAAAGGGUCCAGUGAAACUUAAGAGCACUUUGUGCUCUUGCAGUGCUGGGAAGGUGUUACGUAACUACAUAGUGGUGCUUCUGUUUCAAACGGCAUGCCACAGGUAUGUUUGUUUGUUUUUUAUAUGCACACUACAGGCCAAAAGUUUGGAAGCAAGAUCAGAUUUGUAUAAAAAAAAGAUCAUAGUUUCGUAAAUAUAACUUACAACACAAUAAACAUGACUAUUGUGUAAAGAGUAACUUAUCAGAAGACAUUUUGACUAUAAUUAUUAGGUAUUUGAGUUUUUCUAGCUUAGACUUUGCUUUCUUUAAAGUAACCUCCUCUGGCUUUAACAACAGCUUGGCAAGUUUUUUAAGGUAUGUUUCAGGGAUUGCAUUCCAAGCUUUCUUAAGUUCAUUAAAAAGAGACUGCUGAUUCGUGAGAUGCGUUUUUCUGACCGAUAGAUCCAAUUCAUCCCGCACAAGCUUAAUUGGAGAAAGGUCUGGAGACUGAGGGGGCCAAACCAUCUUUUGAAGAACACCUUCCUCUUCUUUUUUGUCUAGGUAACCCUGACAGAGCUUGGCAGAGUGCUUAGGGUCAUUGUCUUGCUGCAAAACAAACUUAUGAGCCACAAGUCUGAGUCCAGAUGGAACAGCAUGGUGCUGGAGGAUGGAGUGGUACUGUUCCUUCUUCAUGAUACCCUUUACUUCAAACAAAUCUCCUACUCCAUUACCUGCAAAUCUCCACACCAUGGAACUACCACCUCCAUGCUGAAUUGUGGGUGUAACACAUGGUGCUUUCAGAUGUUCACCAGUUUGUCUGCGGACAUAGACCCUGCAUUUUGUUUCUAGUCAUCAUAAGUCCAAUUUUUGUGAGCUUUUGCCCACUCAUAUCUCUUUUUCUUGUUCUGUGGAUGAAGUAGUGUUUUUUUGCAGAUACACAACCCUUCAGACCAGCCUUUCUCAAACGUCUUUUCCCGGUUGUCACAGAUAUUGGUUACAACUUUGUCAUGUUGAUUUCCUCCCUUCUUUGUGGUGCUGUCUUUCGCCGAUCUCUCUUACUGGUGACAAUGCUAUGUUUAUCCUCUCCUUUUGUAAUAACUCUCUUUCAUCCAGGUCUUUUUCUAUCAUCAUAACUUCCAGGUUCCUCAAGUCUCUUCAGAGUGUAGUGGACUCCUUUGUUAAACACCUUUAGGCGUUUUGCAAUUUCUCUUUCUGUGUAUCCUUCUUUCCUCAAUGUACAAAUCUGUACUUUUGUUUCUUUGCUCAGUUGCUUCUUUCUAACCAUUUCUGCAGUAUUUUGAACACAGUUGGGAUUUAUUAGGAUUUUUGUAUGCAGACUCUCAAAAGCCAAAAAGUUGAAGUGAAUAAUCCAACUGUGAUUUGCUUUUUGAUUGCUUUUCCACUGAAGUUGUGACUCUUGCAAAUGUUUUCAACCCUAAAACAAAGCCCUUAUUAUCUUUUGCUGACAUAUAUUUAGCAAUGGUCUGUUAACAUCAAUGUAUAUCUAAAGGUAAAUGGAGUAAAAUGGUGCAUUUCCAUGAAAACAAAACCUAAACAUGGAGUAAAUACAUCCCAAAAUACAUAAAACUCAUACUGGAUUUUAAAAAAAUCAUUGUGAACAAUGGCCUUGCUUCCAAACUUUUGUAGUGUAGCUAGUCUAUGUAAAUGCAGAUUAAAAAAUUAUAUAUUAUGGAGAUAAAUUAUCACAAUUCCACAAUAUUCUAAUUUUGGGGGAUUUACCUAUAUAGCACUUUAGGAGUGAAGUGGGUGCCCAGCCCCUGGCAUGCACCAGCUUUCUGCAAACCUGGCACCAGCCAAGGACACAGGGCAGAUAUUAAUGUUUGUUCGAUGUUCAACAAGUUCAAAAUUUGUAUUGUCGUAUCAAAACAUUAUUCAUCUUGUUUUUAUUACAAGGGAUUGCACCAGAGGCCACUAAUAAAAUGGAGGUGUGUAGACCAGUGCCUACAAAAAAAAGACUGGUGUUAAAUGCAUGCUGUACAAGGCAUAUACUGAUGAUUAUGACUGAGCUCUUACCUAUCAUAUAAAAUCAGAAUCAGAAGGGGUUUUUUUGCCAUUGUCAAUGAACAGGAUUCACAGACUAGGAAUUUUUUACGGCGUGAUGGUGCAACAUUACAGUGGCCUGGAUGUACAAAAUACAACCGCAAAAGAGAAAACACGAUCUUUCGAAACGUUUUUAUUGAGGGUGGGUGGCCAACUUCACGAAGGUGGAAUAUAGGGAAUCUCUUUUUUGCCACAGUUUAGACUAACUUGGUGUUUUCAAAGCUUUUAAACACAGUAACUAAAGAAACAUCAGUGGGCACAUUUUUGUAAUUCAUCAUGGUUGUCAAAGUUCAUUAUUUGUUAUUAUUAAAGCUGUUCUAUUAAGGUUAAAGCUCCAUAUAAAAGUAACCCAUUAGUAAAAUAUCCCGGUUCGGUGCGGUUCUCCUCCUCUGAUCAUAGCGGCCUCCUUAGCAGCAGUCUGUUAUACAGAAAUAAGAGACCCAAAAUUUAACAUAUUUAUUUCUUUGUUUUCCUGCAGCAUCACAGACUAUUCAAACCCCUACUCUUCAGACCUUUCUGGAGUACAGAAAGAAGAAAGCAGAGGAGAGGCAAAAGUUUUCAUGGGCUAAAACAACAGUAAUUAAAACAGCAGCCUUAGGCAAGGAUGUCAAAGGACAUCAGUUAUUUUAUCAGCACUCUUUUGAAAGUGAUACAGCAUAAUGACAAUGCUUCAUGUGAUUCGACAUUCAAUCAUCAGCAUUCAAUAACAUUAAUCACAGUGGGUGACUAUUAGAUCUUACUCCUUUACCAGUCAAAAGUGUAAGUUGGAUCAAAUAACCAUGUAUCUUGAAGAUCUUGCAGGACAACAGCGACCCCUCCUCUCUCUGCACACACCCCAGAGACACUCCCAGUUUGAAGCACAUGAAACCAAUAAAGUUGGAGUGAUCAUGGUCUUGUGCUUAAUCUGAUGCUCUUGGUUUUAUCUUACUCCCUUACGCCUUUCUUUUUACUUGUCCUCUUCUACUCCACUCAUUUUUCCCCACCUUUUCCUAGUUUUACGCCACGUGACAGCCGACAGCCUUGUCGGAACCGAUCUGUGGACAGAGAAUCUUUUAGUGAUAUUUGGGAAAAGCAGGACACUACUACUGAUGUCUUUAUAAAGCAUUCUGACAGCGGAAAUAAAUUUUUCUCCAAAACCAAAAAUUUGAAGUGAUCGAAAUAAGAAUUGAUGCUCUACGGUGUGGAAUGCCUCAUAAAAGUCCAAGAAUAAAAUCAAAGCGUCUGAUUCAACGUAAUCAGAGUAAUCCAUUAAAUCAAGAACAAGUCUAAUAUUACAAAUUAUGUGCCGAUUAGCCAUAACGCCGGUUUGGGUUUCAUUGAUGAUUUCACUUAAUCCUUUUUCAGUUGUCUGGCCAGAACUAAUGAGAGUAUUUUCAAGUCUACAUUUAAUAGUGUUAUCGGUCUCCAAUUAUCUAAAGACAGGUGAUCUUUGUCUGGUUUGGGGAUCAAUGUUAUUAUUCCUUGUUUCAUAGUUGCAGUCAUCUCUUCUUUAUCAAUACAUUCCUUUAUCAUUUCAAAGAGGGGGUUUUCAAUUAUGCUCUAGAAACAUAGGUAAAACUCGACAGGAAGCCCAUCCAUUCCUGGAGACUUUCCUUUUUUCAUCUUCUUAAUAGCUUCAGACAUUUCAGACUUGAGUUUAUCACAGUCCAGCUUGAAUUCGUUGGAUAUUUGUGGCGUAAAUUCUUUAACAUUGUUUUUCACAAUCAGUUUGAUUAUGAACAGAACUGUACAGAUCAGAAUAAAAUUUUAGAGUAUAAUUGGCAAUAUCAGAAGGAUCAGAGCUAGUUGAGUUAUCUAUUUUCAAAGAUGUUAUAUUAUCUCUUCUAUAAUUCCUUUUUUCCAGGGCGAAAAACGGCCGUAUUCAUUUCUCCCUCCUCUAGCCAUUUGGCUCUAGAACGUAUAAAUGCACCUUUGGUGAGACCCUGCUAUCGGUAAAACCGGAAGCGGAGAUGACGUCGUAUGAAGUCCCACUACUCCCCCUAUGCCAGUUCUUUAUAGGUCGUCGACCGUAAUCAGUACUACUAGUUGCCAUCCGCCGUUAACUAAGAAGAGGAAGAUAAAGAAGUACACAUUACUGCUCGACCUCCAUAAUCGACCAAAUCCAGAUUCUGCAAACAAAAGAUCGGAGCCAAAUCCACCGCGACUUUUUCAAACCUGGUGAUCCGAAACCGAGGUUUAAAUUUCCGCUCCAAAACGGAUUCAGCUCUGUUUCCAAACGCUCAUAAAGAAAAACAAGAGGAAGAAGUCGUCCACGUGGUACCGCGGUAACCACAAAGUUCUGUUUUCGCUGCUUCCGCUCUUGCGUUUGUGGAAAAUGUCCGGGUUUCAGGAUCUUGAUGAUUUAUUUAAUCGGCGGCUGCUGGCUGCGGUAAUGACGGACCUGGUCGAAAAUAGAACAGAGUCUGGAUACGAAGAGGAGCUCCGCCGCCAGAAAAAACUGCUGGCUGUGAUUUUAACACCCGAAAUCAAGCUGCACAGAGCAGGUCAGUUUUCCUUACACUUCUGGAUACAUGUUUCAAUGCCUUAACUGAAGCAAGCGCCACACACAGGCUGCAAUAAACCAUAUUAAUGAAAUGGCAAAAUAAUAUGAUUAAACCUGGAAUGAUUUUAAGGCAAAAAAAGUUUUUCUUCUCAAGGAAAAAGUUUUUUAUUACGAAUAUCUGAAGUACUACACAACCGCAACAACAAAUACAACAGCUAUCCUAUCAUGUUUGUCCUAUUAACUGCUGGACUGUGUCAAGUAUUUGUAGUUUAAGAGUCACACAUUGGUUUGAUGAUGAUUCUGAAAAACACAUGUUCCAGAUGUAUCUCUGUGGCCUACUUUAAAAUGUAAAUCUGUAUUGUCAGUCAGCAUUUCUCGUUUCUGUGCUGCCCAUCAGGCUAAAAUCCUGUCUGAUUCAGAGGGGUAAAGCCCCUUUAUUUUAGAGGGCUUGAUAAACAUCUCACCCACUAUAGCAAGGUAUUGGGUCGAGGGAAAAAAACUGUUUAAAACACUGAAAUUUCCUUGUUUUUUCAAACUACAUGUCUGUCUCCAAUUGUGAUGUGCAAUUGAAUAAUUAUUUACUUCAAUAAAUGUCAGUGAGGGGAUUAGGAAUUGAAGUUUGGGAGGCUCUGCUGACAGACACACAAACUAUCAAUGCAACCUAGUUGAUUUGGAUCCAUGGGAACUAAAUGUGAGCUGAAUUCUGAGCUCUUAGUGUGAACUCUCACAAUGCUGCUCUUGGUUACCUGGGUUGAGUGUUUUAUCAACACUGUGAUUGGUUACCUGGAACUAUGGUGCAGCAGCUUUUUGCACCAGGCUGCACCCAUUCAGUUUUGCCCAAGAAGUUUCAGGAGCACAUCAAUGAGCAUCAUAACAAAUGCUGUAAGUGAUUUGAAAAUAACAACAGAUUUAGUGGUGCCUCUUCAACUAAAUCCAUGCUGCUGACAUUGUUCAGUUCUUGGCAGGACUGUUGAAAAAUAGUCUAACUCUUAUCUUUCUUAAGAAUAUCAUUGAGUUUUUAAAUCUGCUUUCAUAUCUACUGAUGUUUUCAUCAACUUUUGUUUAGUUGUUGUUUUUCUGUGCCUUGCAGAUAUCCAACAGUUGUUGGUGGAAAAAGAGUUUCUCUCUGAGCAGCAGGGGAGGAGUCCCACUCUGGACCAGGGAUACACUGAGCCCCCGAACAUUUGCAAGGAACAGAAUCAUGGAGGACAAGAUCCAGCCAGUAACUACUCAGGGAUAAAUAUACAACGAAUGACUCAAGACUCCCCUGAACCUGAGACCGAGGGCAGUGAUGAGAAUUGGGAGGAUACAAAACCACAAAAGUCAAGUCUAAUGUCUGUGAAAAAAGUGAGAAAGAAGAUGCUAAAGAGGCUUGAGAAAUCACGUGUUUGCUCAAAGUGUUGUCGAAUAUUCAAAACACGACAAGAACUAGCAAUCCACCUGAAAGUUCACUCAGAGGAGAGACCCUUCAGCUGCUCAGAAUGUGGCAAAACAUUCAAAACUAAAGGCAAACUGGCAAGACACAUGACAGUUCACUCAGAUGAGAAACCCUUCAGCUGCUCAGACUGUGGCAAAACAUUCAAAACUAAAUACCACCUGGCAAGGCACAUGAGGGUUCACUCAGAUGAGAGACCCUUUAGCUGCUCAGAAUGUGGCAAAACAUUUAAAACUAAAGGAGAACUGUCUAGACACAUGAGAGUUCACUCAGAUGAGAAACACUUCAGCUGCCCAGACUGUGGCAAAACAUUCAAAACUAAAAACGACCUGGCAAGGCACAUGAGGGUUCACUCAGAGGAGAGACCCUUCAGCUGCUCAGACUGUGGCAAAACAUUACAAACUAAAUACGACCUGGGACAACACAUGAGAGUUCACUCAGAGGAGAGACCCUUCAGCUGCUCAGACUGUGGCAAAACAUUCAAAACUAUAUACGACCUGGCAAGGCACAUGAGGUUUCACUCAGAGGAGAGACCCUUCAGCUGCUCAGAAUGUGGCAAAACAUUCAAAAGAGAAGGAGAUCUGGCAAGCCACAUGAGAGUUCACUCAGAGGAGAGACCCCACAGCUGCUCAGAGUGUGGCACAACUUUCCAAAGAGAACCUGUGUUGAUAAAACACAUGAGAGUUUGCACUGGAGAAAGACCCUAGAGCUGCCCUGGAUGUAAUAAACUCUCUCAGUCUCAGUAUUUAAAUUCUGCAAGCAUCUCUGCUAAAAUGAACACAUAGUUAGAGAUAGAACAAGUGUGUCUACAACUGCAGAAAAAAACAAGCAUGUAGAGUGGACUGGUCUAAGAACAUAGACUUCACCCACAGAAAGUGGCAGAGCCGCCUCUUUUGCCUGAGAAGACUCCGAUUAGAAGAAUAGAAUAGAAUAUUCCCCAAUGGGGGAAAUUUUCUUGUCACAGCAGCAUCACAGACAAAGAGUGCAAAAUUGCAGUUAUAAAAAUAAAGAUCCUAAUAUUAAGAACUUCAAUAAAUGUAAUAAUUAAGAAAAAAAAUAGAAAAAGGAAAAAGGGAGAAGAAAAAUAAAACUAUCUACAAUAUACACAAUUUAAAUGCCAGAAAAAAGUGGUGGUAUAAAUCCAGUUAUUAUUACAGUUGGUUGUAAAGUCGUAUUGCAGAGGGGAGGAAUGGCCUGCAGUAGUGCUCCGUCCUGCAAGGUGGAAGUCUAAAUCUGCUGCUGAAGGAGCUGCUCAACAGACAUCUGUAGUAAGAUGCUGCAGAUGUUUUAUCAGUCUGUGGUGGCAAGUGUUGUGUUCUGCGCUGCAGUCUGCAGGGGAGAAAGCAUCAAACACAAAGAUGCAAAACGUCUGAACAUACUGGUGAAAAAGGCUGGCUGUGUUGGAGGAUGUGGUGGAGAAAUGUAGACUGAGGGAGGUGGAGGCUAUUUUAAAGAACAUGGAUCAACCACUUCACAACACCUUAAUGGACCAAAGGGCCAAUGGUGGUGGACAGCUCCUCUCUCUUUACUGCAGGACAGAAAGAUUGAGAAGAUCUUUUGUACCCACAGCCAUCAGACUUUACAACUCUUUUAUAAAUAGUAGAUGACUUUUGAGACAUGACCAGUGAGACGACAGACAAUUGGAUUUCCCUUCAGGGAUCAAUAAAGUUAUUCUUAUUCUUAUCCCUUGUAUUUUUCUUUUUUUUUGUAUGAUCUGGACUUAAUGGGUCUGAAAUAACCCUGUGCUGGGGCAACACUUAAUCUUCUGUAUCUUGUCCUGUGCUCUCCUAUUAUGCAAUGCAGUGGGGCGAGGUUUUUUUUUUUUUCUAAAUUCACUUAUUAGAAUGCCGAAGAUACUUGUAUUGAGUCCUGGUCUUUUGUUGUCACAUUAGACCUCUCUUAAACUUCAAUAAUAUUAACAGUAAAAUGUAUUAGGUUUAUGACCAAAAUUGAUUGUUUAGAAGAUUAUGAAGAAGAUAAUAGGGACAGAGAGGGUAGAUAGUGAGGACAAAGACAUGACUACUUCAAAAUAUAGAGACCUCUAGUCAAUAAAUACUGAGAUACAAGGACAUUUGCUAACUAAACUGUUACUUUUGUUUGAGUACUAAAAUAUUUGCUUUUGAAAAUGCCUAGAUAGACCUACUUAUUUGACUUUUUGAGAAAAUCUCAAAACAAUGUUGUUUUCUCAUCAUUCAUGUGCGCAUGUUUUAAAACUUAAAAACAUAAUUUAAGCUGACUUUAAAGCAAAAGUGGAGAGCAAUGAGAACAUGAUCUGGUUUGGUGGGGUCACCCCAUCUCAUCUCCAGUGACCAGGUCAAGCAUUACAUUCUUUUGGGGGUACUUAGGGUGAGAAAGCGGGCAUCUCUGCUACAAGACCCCAAUUUAUAUUUCUCUAAAGAAAUUAUGUAUGUGUUUGUUCUUUUUUUUUUUUUACUAUAGUAUUAUUUUAUUAUCUCCCAUGUUAUUUGUUCAAUGUUCCUUUGUCUGAAAUGUUGGGGUUGUACUUGGUCAUGAAGUUGACAGUUUUUGAUACAAAUAAAAAGUUCCCCUACUGCUAACCGGGAAGUGAAUCGGAAGCUGAGUGACAUCAAGGUAUAUUCCCCCCACACCGGACCUUUACCGACCUCCCAUAAUCAACCAAAUCCAGCAUCAAAUGAUCAGAGCCAAAUAAACUGUAGCUUUGUGAAACCUGAGGCCUGUACUAUGCAGCUGGAUUAACACACCCAGGAUAACUGCCAAAACUCACUUAACUUCACCAGAUCUCCGUAAUCCCGAUCAGCUGUACUACGAGGCAGGAUAUCAACUCGAUAACUGAAUUCAAUAGAGGGAAUUCACGCUGAUGUCAGUCGACUUCUGUCUGUCUGUGUGCAUCACAUCACAGAUGUGUCUAAAAUCUCCCAGAAUGAUUCCUGCCUUCAUUUAAGACAGAAAGAACAAACAGGCAAAGAAUUUUUUUGGAGACUGAGA